CCAGCUUGCUGGUGUGGAUGAAGUGGCGAACGGGUGAGUAAUACGUGAGUAACCUGCCCUUGACUCUGGGAUAAGCCCGGGAAACUGGGUCUAAUACUGGAUGCUACAUGUCACCGCAUGGUGGUGUGUGGAAAGGGUUUACUGGUCUUGGAUGGGCUCACGGCCUAUCAGCUUGUUGGUGAGGUAAUGGCUCACCAAGGCGACGACGGGUAGCCGGCCUGAGAGGGUGACCGGCCACACUGGGACUGAGACACGGCCCAGACUCCUACGGGAGGCAGCAGUGGGGAAUAUUGCACAAUGGGCGAAAGCCUGAUGCAGCGACGCCGCGUGAGGGAUGACGGCCUUCGGGUUGUAAACCUCUUUCAGCAGGGAAGAAGCCACAAGUGACGGUACCUGCAGAAGAAGCGCCGGCUAACUACGUGCCAGCAGCCGCGGUAAUACGUAGGGCGCAAGCGUUGUCCGGAAUUAUUGGGCGUAAAGAGCUCGUAGGCGGUUUGUCGCGUCUGCUGUGAAAGCCCGGGGCUUAACCCCGGGUGUGCAGUGGGUACGGGCAGACUAGAGUGCAGUAGGGGAGACUGGAAUUCCUGGUGUAGCGGUGGAAUGCGCAGAUAUCAGGAGGAACACCGAUGGCGAAGGCAGGUCUCUGGGCUGUUACUGACGCUGAGGAGCGAAAGCAUGGGGAGCGAACAGGAUUAGAUACCCUGGUAGUCCAUGCCGUAAACGUUGGGCACUAGGUGUGGGGGACAUUCCACGUUUUCCGCGCCGUAGCUAACGCAUUAAGUGCCCCGCCUGGGGAGUACGGCCGCAAGGCUAAAACUCAAAGGAAUUGACGGGGGCCCGCACAAGCGGCGGAGCAUGCGGAUUAAUUCGAUGCAACGCGAAGAA
RNAcentral lists this ribosomal RNA (885 nucleotides) under Kocuria palustris. RNAcentral describes it as "bacterial SSU rRNA". It matches the Rfam family "Bacterial small subunit ribosomal RNA", at positions 75 to 968 of the family's 1533-position model. Lineage: Bacteria; Bacillati; Actinomycetota; Actinomycetes; Micrococcales; Micrococcaceae. The record is from RNAcentral.